This 233-nucleotide long non-coding RNA is filed under the name Lathyrus oleraceus (garden pea). Its description in RNAcentral is "Pisum sativum (pea) long non-coding RNA (PSAT_LNC039438)". Lineage: Eukaryota; Viridiplantae; Streptophyta; Magnoliopsida; Fabales; Fabaceae. The record is from RNAcentral.
GAAAAAAGGAGAGGCGUUGGAUGAUGGCUCAUUAAUUGAGCUGGCACAUCACACGGCCUCUGAGCGUGCUUCCACCAAGGUCCUUAGUCAAAUGAAUCACAUGGCACAUUAUCAAAAGUCAUAACAAUGGAGCGUGGAGAUUAAAUCUGGAAAAUGCAUUGUGUGGCUCAGAUUGGAUCUGGCAAACAGACGGUGGCCAACACCACUGUCUUCUCCGGUGAGCUCCGAUGGAG